This 388-nucleotide ribosomal RNA is filed under the name Bacillus zhangzhouensis. RNAcentral's name for it is "bacterial SSU rRNA". It matches the Rfam family "Bacterial small subunit ribosomal RNA", at positions 111 to 485 of the family's 1533-position model. The record is from RNAcentral. Lineage: Bacteria; Bacillati; Bacillota; Bacilli; Caryophanales; Bacillaceae.
UAACACGUGGGUAACCUGCCUGUAAGACUGGGAUAACUCCGGGAAACCGGAGCUAAUACCGGAUAGUUCCUUGAACCGCAUGGUUCAAGGAUGAAAGACGGUUUCGGCUGUCACUUACAGAUGGACCCGCGGCGCAUUAGCUAGUUGGUGGGGUAAUGGCUCACCAAGGCGACGAUGCGUAGCCGACCUGAGAGGGUGAUCGGCCACACUGGGACUGAGACACGGCCCAGACUCCUACGGGAGGCAGCAGUAGGGAAUCUUCCGCAAUGGACGAAAGUCUGACGGAGCAACGCCGCGUGAGUGAUGAAGGUUUUCGGAUCGUAAAGCUCUGUUGUUAGGGAAGAACAAGUGCGAGAGUAACUGCUCGCACCUUGACGGUACCUAACCA